CAAGAGUACGUGAAACUGCUUAGAGGUUAAGCCCGAUGAACCUGAAUAUCCAAUAUAGAAAAUUCAUCAUCAUGAUUUUUUAAUAUUAAUAAYAUUAUAAAUAAUGGUGUGCAUUUUUUCUAUUACGGACAUUGUAAUCUAUUAAUAUGAAUGCAAUUUAUCAUAAGAUCAUUUGCGAGAGUUUAUUCAAAUUAUUUUGCUUGCAAUUUAACAUAGAAUAAAUGUAUUUGAUUAGAUAAAGUGUUGAUAGAUUUAUUGAAUAUAGUGCUUAAAUAYACAUAUUUUAUAAUAGCAUAAUAAUUAAUUAAUUUUUAUGUUUAUUAUAUGCACUUAUAUGAUUAACAAUGCGAAAGAUUCAGGAUACCUUCGGGACCCGUCUUGAAACACGGACCAAGGAGUCUAACAUAUUUGCAAGUUAUUGGGAAUAAAAACCUAAUAGCGAAAUUAACAUAACUUUAUAUAAUGGGAUUAGUUAUUAGCCUAUUUAUAGUCUAUUGAUUCAAUCCCGGGGCGUUCUAUACAGUUAUGUAUAAUAAUAUUUAUAUUGUUUAUACCUCUAACUAGAGCGUACCUUGAGCAUAUAUGCUGUGACCGA
Molecule: ribosomal RNA, 595 nt
Filed under: Morinia aff. doronici 1 AT-2015
Lineage: Eukaryota; Metazoa; Arthropoda; Insecta; Diptera; Polleniidae
Description: eukaryotic LSU rRNA
Rfam family: Eukaryotic large subunit ribosomal RNA
Source: RNAcentral